Triticum urartu is the source of this 154-nucleotide non-coding RNA. Lineage: Eukaryota; Viridiplantae; Streptophyta; Magnoliopsida; Poales; Poaceae. The record is from RefSeq and is a predicted model, not a curated record.
GCACGGGCAGGGCUUUCCACCAUGGUUCCCUCCACGCCGACGCAAAGUAAGAAGGGAGUAGAAGGCCUGCCAAAGGAGAAUGAGAAUGAAGCUAUGCUGCUUGAAAAAAGAAAGAAUCUGCAGUCCUAACAAAGAACCUGAAACAACAAUCUGG